Molecule: long non-coding RNA, 1518 nt
Organism: Hylaeus anthracinus
Lineage: Eukaryota; Metazoa; Arthropoda; Insecta; Hymenoptera; Colletidae
Exons: 3
Source: RefSeq, a predicted model, not a curated record
ACCGGCAUACUCGCGCUCUGAUUGGUCCGGGGUUUUCUGUUAAUAUCUCCACAACGAAGCCUCGGACAACAUUUUCGCUAAGGAAAAUGUUGUUUCAAAUCACCUCCCGAACCACCCCUUUCAAGGACUUCCAACAUUUUUGGGACCGUAUACCAGGGACCCUCCUAACGGCCCCUCUAACGUCGGCCCCGUCCAGAACAUUAAUGAAGUUUCACCAUUUCAACAUAUUCAAACCUGCACCACCUAUCAAAAAUCGACAUGGACUUUCCAGACAACCCAAUACUUUCCUUUAUCAGCAAAAGUAACGGAGACAUUUGCGGCGAGUACAAUAAACGACACAUCCUGUACGCUUAAACUCGUAUUGUUAGAUCUCUGUCCUGCUUUCUCUCACAAUUAUUUCCGGUACGUAAAUGUAUACCUACUUAAGCGAUAACAGCAUUAUGAAUGAAACAAAAUAAACGUUUUAAAGUCUGUCAACAUUUUUCCAUUGCGAUAUAAAAUUUACAAUCUAUGAAAGGAAGAUAGUUAAUUUUUAAAUAAUUUUUCAGUAAAUUUUAAAGAUUAAUCACUAUUACUAUUAGCAGUUCUUAAUCUUGGAUACUUAUGGAAAACAUAUGGUUAAGAAUGAAUUAUAUUAUAUGUUCAUUAAAUACCGUUAGGAAGCUAAAAGAAUUAGGAACAUGCUAAGUGUGUUGUGUACUUAUUAACUCAACCAAGUUUUUAAAUAUAUACAUGAAAUAAAAUCAACGACCAUUAUCCAUGUCCCAUUAUCCAAUACGAAAAAUUUAAAUUGCUUUAAACUGAUUCGACAAGGAAAAUUGUUUCCCAAUGAAAUAUAUUAUAAUAAUUUAUGUAAAUUUAUAUAUUCUGUAAUAAAAUAUACCUGAAAAUAGAAGAGGAUAACAGAAUGAUUAUUAAAUAUUAUUUAAAAUAUUAUAAAUAAGACUUUAUUAUAAAAUAUUAUAAAUAAUACUUUAUUAUUGUCCUCUAAGUGAUACUGUUUUCGUUAAGUGUUGUCAUAUGUAUUCUAAAUGAGAUUCUCUUGUGUUUUUUUUGCCCAUAUAAUAUAAUUUUACUUUUAAGAACAAUUCAAUAAUUGUUUUAAGCAUUUCGUAUUUAUGUUGUUUAACAAAUCCUUGUCUUUAAUGUGGGCAUUCAAAUUUUGAAAUAAACUUUCAAUAUUUAAAUUUCUCAUGACAGAAAUGGUAAUUUUUGAAAAACAUUUCUUGUUUUUAAUUUGUUUUCAAUUCUAUAAAUGUUAAACAUUUCUUCUGUAACAGUUAUAGUCGAAUAAGUAUCUUUUCUUGGAUAUCUCAAACCACCAAGGAUUUUUGUACGAAUCAAAAUUGAAUAUGCUUCUAUUGAAGAGUUCUGUUCAAGAGUUUGAUGCAUGCGCAGCAGGUAAGUUUCUUUACAGUGUGCAUUUCAACAAACCCUGUGUCAUAUACCAUGGUGUGCUGUUGAAUCAAUAAAUUCGAUAGGAAUAUCUUCAAUAGUUUUCACAUCUUCAACAUCUUC